This 458-nucleotide ribosomal RNA is filed under the name uncultured Streptococcus sp. RNAcentral describes it as "bacterial SSU rRNA". It matches the Rfam family "Bacterial small subunit ribosomal RNA", at positions 923 to 1382 of the family's 1533-position model. Lineage: Bacteria; Bacillati; Bacillota; Bacilli; Lactobacillales; Streptococcaceae. The record is from RNAcentral.
GCACAAGCGGUGGAGCAUGUGGUUUAAUUCGACGCAACGCGCAGAACCUUACCAGGUCUUGACAUCCCGAUGCUAUUUCUAGAGAUAGAAAGUUACUUCGGUACAUCGGUGACAGGUGGUGCAUGGUUGUCGUCAGCUCGUGUCGUGAGAUGUUGGGUUAAGUCCCGCAACGAGCGCAACCCCUAUUGUUAGUUGCCAUCAUUCAGUUGGGCACUCUAGCGAGACUGCCGGUAAUAAACCGGAGGAAGGUGGGGAUGACGUCAAAUCAUCAUGCCCCUUAUGACCUGGGCUACACACGUGCUACAAUGGUUGGUACAACGAGUUGCGAGUCGGUGACGGCGAGCUAAUCUCUUAAAGCCAAUCUCAGUUCGGAUUGUAGGCUGCAACUCGCCUACAUGAAGUCGGAAUCGCUAGUAAUCGCGGAUCAGCACGCCGCGGUGAAUACGUUCCCGGGCCUU